UACCAGCACCCCGAGUGGUCGGGACGUUUAUUGGGCCUAAAGCAUCCGUAGCCGGUUCUACAAGUCUUCCGUUAAAUUCAGCUGCUUAACAGAUGGGCUGCGGAAGAUACUAUGGAGCUAGGAGGCGGGAGAGGCAAGCGGUACUCGAUGGGUAGGGGUAAAAUCCGUUGAUCCAUUGAAGACCACCAGUGGCGAAGGCGGCUUGCCAGAACGCGCUCGACGGUGAGGGAUGAAAGCUGGGGGAGCAAACCGG
Molecule: ribosomal RNA, 253 nt
Filed under: uncultured bacterium
Lineage: Bacteria
Description: partial 16S ribosomal RNA
Rfam family: Archaeal small subunit ribosomal RNA
Source: RNAcentral